CAGCGGAGUGGCUUAAACCCUUGGAAAGUUGGAAUAUUGCAAAACCCUUCGCGGAUUCGGUCGUCACCAGCUGUAGGAGUUUUGAUGUGAUCAAUCAAGAAUGGCCCUUUAUAGAAGAUUACAAGCAAUUCGUGCUCUUUCUCGAACGUUAGAGACUCGAGACUCUUUGUAUCUGCUUGGGAGCUUAAGAAGCUAUAGUAGUCAUUUUUCAAAUGGUUGUGAACUGAACUCCUGGAGAAUUUCAUUUUGUCCCCAUUGGGACCACAAUUCUCUUCCUUGGACUCAUGGAAGGACAACCCUUCAUUCUUCAAUGGCCAUGGAAUUAUCAAUUUUCUUAAGCAACAAGAGGUUGGCGACAACACAGGCAAGAGCUCCCGCACAAGCACGGCAGAUGGGGGCUCUUAAAGUGUCCAUUUCGAGUCCUGGAUUCAUCUAUGAACCUUAUGCACCUCGUGAACCAAUCCCAUUUUGGCGAAGGUGGUUCACAAAAAGUGGUUGGAGACGAACAAAAGAAGAUAUCAUUCUAGAGAUGAAAAGUGCUUAUGCCAUUUCCAAGUUAAGAAAAUCUGGAUACUCGAAACAUGAGUUCUACAAAGAGGCCAUUGACUUGUACAAGGAGAUAAGCACUCUAAUCGCAAAUGGUGACAAAAAUUCAUUGAGGAAAAUGGUUACAGAAAAAAUGUACUCUGAACUCAAGAAUGAAAUUAAGCAAAGAGAGUCCAUGUGGAAUAAAGUUUGUUGGGAAAUGAUUGAACCAGUGGUUAAGAUACGAACAUUGCGAGCUCGACUGAUAGGUGUUGAUCGAAAAGACCUCAAUAAAGUUUUCAUACAGCUAACCCUUGAGCUUCUAACAAAGCAGAAGUUUGAAGCUUAUGAUUCAAAAGGCAUUACUGUUGCUGGAGAUAAAACAAAGGAGCUUGCUCGCCAAUCUCUCUUGAACCCUAAGACAAAUGCACUGCCAUUUCUCCGCAAGCAGCAUCCCAUAUCCCCAAAUCGCCAAUCUAUACUAUCCCUCACCACUCGCUUCUUUGCAUCCCAAAGUCUUAGCCUUAACUCAUUUCCUGACAAGCCUAGUGCUGCCUAUUAUGAUGAUCUUGUCAAUGCUGCUGGCCAGGAACGAGACUUCAAUACGCUUAGCUACCUCCUCAACAAGCGUGUGAGAGAUGGCUGCUUCAACACUGUCAACACCUUCAAAUUCAUCACCAACACUGAUAACUCCCUCUCAAUCCUAGAUGAUCUCACUGAAACACUAGCCCGCCUUGACAGUGGCUUCCCUCGUACAAGUGCAUAUAAUACACUUAUUGCUCGUCUUUGCAAACUAGACCGAAUUGAGGAAUCAUUGCACAUUGUGGAUAUCAUGGCACAUAGGCAGUAUGGGUUAAGCGCGUGUAGCUUUCACCCUAUACUGAGCUCUCUCACAAGGAAGAAGAAGAUGGAGGUUGCCUGGAAAGUAAUGGAAAUGAUGAGGGCAGUGGGUGUUUUGCCUGACCUGACAGCUUUCAAUUAUUUGUUGACGGCAUAUUGUUAUAAUGGCAAUUUAAUGGCUGCAACUAAGGUGAUGAAGAGGAUUGAAGAGGAGAGGCUGGGUGCUGAUGCACGAACAUAUGAUGCACUGGUGUUGGGUGCAUGUAGAGUAGGGAAAGUUGAGGGGGCCCUUGUGGUGCUGAGGAGGAUGGAGCAUGAUGGACCACAUGUAUUGUAUUCUACAUAUGUGCAUGUAAUCAAUGCAUUCUUGAAGUUAGGAUUCUAUGCACAGGCAAUUAAGUUUGUGAUGAUUUAUGCAGGGAGAGAUACAAUAUUAGAUGCAGAGACUUUUGGGAUAUUGGCUAGUAAGUUGAUUAAGUUGGAGAGGCUUGAGCAAGCUAAGUUAGUUUUGGAGGAAAUGGAGGAAAGGGGUUUGGUAAUGGGUGAUAAAUUGAGGGAUUACUAUAACUUGAAAGUUAAGAAUGUCAAAUCGUUUUAGUCGUUGUCCAUAGAAGAUCAGCAUUUUCUGGAGUUGCCUAGGUAGGGAUUGAGCUUGCAUUUGUAUGGACUAAUGAGGCACUUAUUGUACAGGGGUUUAGUGGCACAAUUUCUGGACAAUUUCAUUUUUCUUUUUCUUCUGGUAAUUAAGGUAUUGCUAUCAAUGGUGGGUGUAGAAUAGUUGCCCCAAUUUGGAAGUUGGACUUUGAAUUUGUAGACAUGCACUUCUGUUCCCAAGGAAAUGAUAUAUGGAUCAAAAUGAAUUGAAUGGAAUUGUUGGUUUGAUACUUGUCAUUUAGAAGCUUACGCUUGUAGGUCCUUGUCCGUGAUAUCUGGGUGUUCGAGAAAUCCCUUUUUCAUCCUGGAGCCUACUGGCGUCUUUGUGGGCGGAUUUCAGUUUAAUCCGGCUACCUACGAUCCAACACUGAGUUCAACUGUGCUGAAAAUGAGCAACGAUUGUUACCCAAUUUUGCAAGCUGACGAGAAUCAUGGUGUAUCGUUAUCCCAAAUCAAGUUCUUUUCUUUAAUUGCAUACAGAACUUCAAAGGAAUAAAAUGGCUUUUCCUCAUUUGAUUUUCUUCCUUUGAGAUUGUCCAUUAUUGGUGUUGAUGUUGUUGAGAAAACUGGUCCUGAUUGUAUCACAACCCCUUUCAGCAUAAAAUUAGAAGAUGAUGAAUUCAAGCA
This is an RNA transcript of Hevea brasiliensis (rubber tree), 2646 nucleotides long. It is a transcript of the gene named pentatricopeptide repeat-containing protein At3g56030, mitochondrial, with no coding region annotated. The record is from RefSeq and is a predicted model, not a curated record. The transcript has 13 exons. NCBI's taxonomy places the organism in Eukaryota, Viridiplantae, Streptophyta, Magnoliopsida, Malpighiales, Euphorbiaceae.